RNAcentral lists this ribosomal RNA (492 nucleotides) under uncultured bacterium. RNAcentral describes it as "partial 16S ribosomal RNA". It matches the Rfam family "Bacterial small subunit ribosomal RNA", at positions 29 to 507 of the family's 1533-position model. The record is from RNAcentral.
AGUGAACGCUGGCGGUAGGCCUAACACAUGCAAGUCGAACGGCAGCACAGUAAGAGCUUGCUCUUACGGGUGGCGAGUGGCGGACGGGUGAGGAAUACAUCGGAAUCUACUUUUUCGUGGGGGAUAACGUAGGGAAACUUACGCUAAUACCGCAUACGACCUACGGGUGAAAGCAGGGGAUCUUCGGACCUUGCGCGAUUGAAUGAGCCGAUGUCGGAUUAGCUAGUUGGCGGGGUAAAGGCCCACCAAGGCGACGAUCCGUAGCUGGUCUGAGAGGAUGAUCAGCGACACUGGAACUGAGACACGGUCAAGACGCCUACGGGAGGCAGCAGUGGGGAAUAUUGGACAAUGGGCGCAAGCCUGAUCCAGCCAUACCGCGUGGGUGAAGAAGGCCUUCGGGUUGUAAAGCCCUUUUGUGGGGAAAGAAAAGCAGCAGGUUAAUACCCCGCUGUUCUGACGGUACCCAAAGAAUAAGCACCGGCUAACUUCGUG